AGGCCGGUAUAAACUUGCGGCUCAGAUCAAGCUAUGCCUGAUGCUGCCUUAAGCCUUAUGAGGUCGCCAAGGAACCGCAGGUGAGGAUUCAGGAGAUAAUUCUGCAAACAGAACUUCCUGAGAACUGAGAUGGGGGAAAUCGCUGGUAUUAGAAGAGUGAAAAGAAACUCCUGGAGGGCAGAGGCAUGCCUGCCAUCUUCAUCAAUGCAUUACCACCACCCAACACUAUCGGGGGACCUGCCCUGAUAAUCAGUCUACAGGUGAAUCCAGCAGCUCCAGAGAGACAGCGACCAGCGAGAAGGGGCCAUGAUGAUGGUGGUGGUUUUGUCAAAACGAAAAGGGGGAUAUGUAGGGAAAAGAAAGAGAGAUCAGACUGUUACUGUGUCUACAUAGAAAGGGAAGACAUAAGAGACUCCAUUUUGA
RNAcentral lists this long non-coding RNA (423 nucleotides) under Homo sapiens (human). RNAcentral's name for it is "HSALNT0317911". The record is from RNAcentral. Lineage: Eukaryota; Metazoa; Chordata; Mammalia; Primates; Hominidae.